GAAAGCAAGCUUCCACGAACUGCAUGUCAAUGAAGAGAUAUGUGAAAAAACACCUUGAGGACUGAUUCCAAACAACGUUUGCCAUGUUUCGGUCGAUAUUAUGUAGUUAAUCCGGAAAAAGUUUUACGUUGUAGGUGACUGCAUUUUCGGUUCGUUUCAGUAGCCAGGCGCAAUGUAGAAAACGGAACGAUUUCUCCUACACACAGACGCUUUCAGGAAACACUGCGCAUUUGGCAUGUGACUGAGAGUCUCCUCAUUGAAAACAUCAGAAGCUCUUCAAAGAAGGAUCUUUCAGCAAGACAACAAGGGAGGAGGCUUGAUGAUGUUGACUGACACAAGGGUGUGUUAAAAGGAGGAGGAGAGCAGAUCCUCUUCAUAAACACUCCAGCUACAGUACUUCUCCACCUGUCUGCUCAUCAAAACCAAACAAGCCUUGCAGAGAGAGGAGGAGCCAUAGAGUGUAACGGCUGUUGGAAGGAGAGGACCAAGAUGCAGCGUGACAAACACCUUGAGGACCCUUCUGCAUCUUUUCAGUGGCUAUGUGGCUCCCAACAGUGUAGGCAGUGUUUCUGGGUGCAGCCCCUGACCUCUUCUUCAGCCAGCAGUCCUUGGAUGAGUCCUUCAGUGACACAAGAGCAGUUGAACCAUCUCACUGCUCACAGGGAUUCAUGGUUGACAAAUACUUUAGUGGGAACAACAUUCUGAUGGCAUAUGAACGGGACCACCAUCAUUGCCAGCUUGCCUGUACUCAGAACCCUGGGUGUUCCUACUUCAGCUACGUGGUUAAAGAAUUCUACUGCUUUCAAAAGUAUUCCUUUGGUCAACCAACUUUGACAAACAAUCCAGGAAUCAUAUCUGGCUACACUAGGAAGGGCUGCAGUGAAGUGUAUUUAACAGGUGACAUCAAUAAGGGAUCAUAUCUUUCACCUGGAUUCACCUGAUCAGUCUCUCAUGGAAAAGCCCAGCAGUUGAGAUACCAGUGUUUACUCUGGGUAGUGAGGGGAGGAGCCACCAUCUUCAAUGCUGAGGACCAAAUAGCAGCUCUGAGAACAGUGUCAGCACAGAGCCUCACUGACGCUGUCUGGGUCCACUGCCAAUACUGGGCUAUUUGAAUACACCAAAUGCAAAGUGUGUUGUUCAGGGACGAAGUGCAAAGGCACACAAUCAAACUCAGAGCUUAAAUGUUACAUGGGUCCAGGUUCAUUGACAUGGGAACGGGCACAGACUGUUUGCCGAGACAAGGGAGAUGACUUAGAGAGCAUCCUCACCCAAGAGGAUUACACAACAUUCCAAAGCAUAACAGAAACACAGCAGUAUGAUGUGGAUUGGACUCUACUGGAAGACUUCUACCAGAAUAUAGCACUGGUCCAAUGGGGACCUCUUCCCAUACUGUGUGUCUGAGCCUCAACUGGGUGCUAGUAACUGCUGCUCCCUGACCCGUCAGGGCCAUGGACAGACUGAACACGCCUCCCUGGACAAGAUAGACUGCUCUCUGAAGAGUUUCUUUCCACUUUUAUUGAAUAGAGAGAGGAAAAGACAGGCAGAGGUUGUGUCAAAGGGCACUAGACUGGAUUCAAACCUAUUCUGACACUAUAGACAUGUGUUACAGAGGCUGUGGCAUUACCACUAGACCAUACAGACCACAAGAUUGAUAUCUUAUUGGGGUUAUUGUGGGUAAGACAGGGACAGCAUUUUAGCCCCAAUAGUGUCCCAUUGCAGCAAGAACAUGUCGGACACAGAGAUGGUACAGUUAGCCUUCUCCAGCCACAUUUCUCUCCCCACCUUCCAAAUAAACAGUGCCUUCCGAAAGUAAUCAGACCCGUUUUCUUUUUCCACAUUUUGUUAGGUUACAGCCUUAUUCUAAAAUUGAUUAUUUGUUUUUUCCCCCUCAUCAAUGGCCACACAAUACCCCAUAAUGACAAAGAAAAAACAGGAUUAUAUAAAUGUUAGCAAAUGCAUAAGAAAAACUGAAAUAUCACAUUUACAUAAGUAUUCGCACCUUUACUCAGUACUUUGUUGAUGUACCUUUGGCAGCAAUUACAGCCUCAAGUCUUCUUGGGUUUGACGCUGCAAGCUUGGCACACCUGUAUUUCGGGAGUUUCUCCCAUUCUUCUCUGCAGAUCCUCUCAAGCUCUGUCAGAUUGGAUGGGGAGCGUGGCUGCACAGCUAUUAUCAGGUCUUUCCAGAGAUGUUCGAUCAGAUUCAAGUCCGGGCUCUGGCUGAGCCACUCAAGAACAUUCAGAUACUUUUUUAAAAGGGGUGGAUCAGCUUAAUAUUGCGGAAAGAAUAUUGGUUCCAUCAAUGUAAUUGUCUGCAUCAUUUCCAAUCCCCCAUAUAUUUUUGGGUAAAUAUAUAUAUAUCCAUACAUGCAUGCAUACAUAUACACAUAUAU
Long non-coding RNA from Oncorhynchus masou masou (cherry salmon), 2392 nucleotides. RefSeq lists it as uncharacterized. Lineage: Eukaryota; Metazoa; Chordata; Actinopteri; Salmoniformes; Salmonidae. The record is from RefSeq and is a predicted model, not a curated record. The transcript is spliced from 10 exons.